RNAcentral lists this long non-coding RNA (3358 nucleotides) under Amphibalanus amphitrite. RNAcentral's name for it is "uncharacterized LOC122390234". Lineage: Eukaryota; Metazoa; Arthropoda; Thecostraca; Balanomorpha; Balanidae. The record is from RNAcentral.
CAGUUGGACUUGAGCGGUCGCCAUGGUGGUAUCGGGGACUCGGCCGGCAUCGUCGUUGGGUGUCGAAUUAUGUGUUUCGUUGUGCUAGAUAUUGCCAAUUUGCUUUGAUAUUUGAUAGAUAACGUUGGCUCAUUCUUUGGUGACCUUGCAUACUAAUACGACGAUAUUUUGAUACCGAUUAUUAUGCAUCAAACAUCAUGAGACAAAUGUGGCGAUUUCCACACCCUUUUGCAGUGCCCCCUCCCCUUGUGUAAUGUGUAGUGAGUUAACAGGCUUGUAAGAACCAAGUGAACCAUUUUUUAGUCAAGUGAUCAUGAUCGUCUCUACAUCUAAUGGAUAAUAGUCUUGCGCAAACUUAUAAAGUACUGGAGGAAGCAGAAGUUACGAUUUUGGAGUACGCAAACUUGAUAUUAAAAAAUCUCAGGUAUUUUGGCUAUAUAAAGUGAGAAGAAAAGUUCAAUUGAUCAUUUUUUAUUACAAUUGCAAUAAUGAUAAUAUCAUGAUAAUUGUACUGUCAGGUAUUGAUAAUAGUCAUGUCACGUCAUGCCACUAACCAGGCACACAGACACAACACAUUUUCAUCUUUAUGUAUCUAGGAAUAAGGUAUUACAGGCAAGUUUUUGCACACCUCUCAUGUGCGAGUGGGCAUGGCCUCCUUCACAGUUAAGUUUUGGCUGAUUGUGCUCAAAUUUUGUAAGUACCUACACGUAAAGGGAUGUAGAUACAGUUAGUCGGGCACUCUUCUUAAUUCAGUUUUGUGCACCACUUCCUGCUUUCACCAUGCUGUGCCCACUCUGCUUUACAGUGGACAGCUGCUUCUGUGACACGCAUUAAUCUUGCGUUCAUUGAAACACUUAGUUUUGAGUGUUUUGACUCAGUUUUGUUGUAACGUUACCUGUUUAUAUUUUCAAUAACUUGUUUUGGGCUUCUCAUAUUUAUCUUUUUUCUUGGCUUAGCAGGUUUAGUGAAAAACAAGUUUUAGCUGACAUUUUACAUGUUAAGAUUACAUGAGUGCAUACAUUUUAUAAAAGCUAUUUCAAAGCUUACUGUAGCCAUGUGUAACAUGCAUAUGUCUUAGUGAAUGACUACUCAGCCUGCUGCUUGUUGCUCAAUGGUAAUAGUUUGAUUUGUUUUUGACAUCAAGUAAGAUUUGAUUUUUGUUUCUGAGAUUCCAAUGUUAUUUGUGGCAAAUAUUUUCCAAAAAUCCUCCAUCUAAAGCUUCAACUGAAUUCUAAAAUGCCUGCAUUUUCUACCAGAAACAUUAUCAUUGAUACCUCCUACAAUAUUUCAUUUUGUCACCAGUUACCUGGACUGGUGAAAAGUGAAAACUGAAAUUCAUUCAUGUCACCAUUAUCCUACGACCUACCCCUAAAUGGAAUUGAUCUUGUUUCACAAAUGAGUUGUACAUUGUACAAUGUCUAUCAGCUGAUGUCUAUUGUCUAUCUCUCUUUCAGCACAGAAGAUCCUCAGUCAUAGUUAACAAAAUGAAAAAAAAAUUAGCUGUGUUUUUAAGAUUCCAGUGGUGGCCAUCAACUGCUCAGGAAAGCAGCCCAGAAUCACUUCACAACAGGUUUCUAAAGGAUCAUCAUUCAUCAGCACAGAAGGGUGGGAAAGAGAAGGCUUUUCAAAUUCUGAAAAGCCAGAGCUGCAAAGGAGGUCAAAGAUGCAGUGCAGUUGGCCCACUCAGUAGAGUUUCACUAGUGGUUCUGAUGUGGACUGAAGAUUACACGCUGGAUUGAAGUGGCCGGUCUGGAGCAGCUGUAGUUCAUCAUUCUUGCUGAUUGUGGACGAGUAAGAGCCCGCGUUGGCCCCGAUCGGCGAUCGCUGGCCAAAGCCCACCACCAGUUUGGUGAUAGGCGUUGGCUGUGAUAUCUAGUGUCGCCUAUGUGUGAAAAGGACAAGUUGAUAACAAAACCUGUUGCGCCAUGUUACUAACCCGCGCCCGGGUGGCCCUCAGCCAACUUGGUGGGGGGGGGGGGGGGGGGAGGUGUAUUCGGCCUCACCAGGUUAUCUUGGAAUGUAGCAAAGCUGGAAAGACGCAGUAAAAUAAAUCUAUAGAUCGCUAUUUUUCUUCAGAAUCAUACAGGUCAUUUUUGAUCAGGUCAUCGCUGAGGUCACUGGAGGUCACCAAAAGUAAAAUGAUGACGAAUUUUGGCCCCCGAUUUUGACAACUUCACAAAUUGGUUCAUAAUUCGGGAACCAAAGAAGCUACAGCGCCGCGGAAAAGCGAAUUCGAUAGCUCUUUCGAAAAUCUUUCAGGUUCUCAGAUUUGAGCUAAAGUCAACUAGGGUUAAGCCUCCAAAGGGCAAAAACUGAACAAUCGGCUUGCUUCGCAAGUCGUCUUUUCUUUUUCUUUUUUUUUUUACUGAUACCAACCUUUUAUUACGUUGAUUUUACCGGCACUGCGUUUCUCUCGUCUUCUUGGCCUAACAAGGUCAGCUUAAUAAAUUUGACCUCAGGUCAAUGUCGCAGAGAAUGCCAUUUUGCAUGUCAUUGAUUCGUUACAUUGAAAUUGAGAUUAACAUCAGUAGCGGCGGAACACCUUCAAUUAAGGGGGCAUUGCCGACUUUUGGUCUCAUUCUUUCCAUGCAACGCCCAUAGGGCUAAUGUUAGAAUGCCAAAAUCAAAGGGGGCACGGUGCCCCGGUGCCCUCGGCCUGUUCCGCCGCCUAUGAUUAUGAUGCUUUUAGCGCUCUGGCCACGUUCCAUCUAAAAUCGAUGUACAAAAAUAAACUGUUGGGAGACGUUACAUGACCUGAGAUGACCUCAGGAGCAUACGAUAGAUCCCGAUGUUUGAGUGCUUUUGUUUCAAAAGCAGAACAUUUCGAGUUCCUCAUACUGACUGAAACUGGAGACGUCGCAAAGUUGACCUGACCCUAGGUCACCACCGAUAUCAAAAUUAAAGAUAUUCAAGAUGUUGGUACUGAUUCUCUCAUGCAAUAGCUCGAGUUUCAAACUUCUACUUCAUGGUGACCUGACCUGACCUUAGGUGACAUGGGGUUACUUUUUUCACAAUUGAUGCGAAUCGAUGCAUUAUACAUAAGCUAUACUAAGUUUCGUGUCGUUUUAUCUAUGCAAGCACAAAAUUGUCAGGUGUGGCCAAAAAACGCCCCCACGGCCCACCCACCUGGGGAACGUUAAAGCAGUGAUGUAUUUUUUCGGUGUAUUCCACGAUGCAUCGAUCGGUGUACUUGAUGAUGCAUUAUUUAUUGCUGCGUGUGUACGCUUUUCCUCUGUUCAGUGUGAUCUGUGAUAGGAAAACUACCGAUAUAUCUCCACGCGCAUGACUGAAAGAGCUGGCGUGAUCUAUAAUAUUGGGUGUCUGUUUUUGUUUGGCAUUUUAUAAAUAAUGAGUCAGC